UGCGGGCCGUGAGAGCGGGAGCCCGGAGAUGGGUACUGAGACAAGGGCCCAGGUCUCUACGGGGCGCAGCAGUCGCGAAAACUUUGUAAUAAGCGAAAGCUUGACAGGGCUAUCCCGAGUGCCAUCCGCUGAGGAAGGCUUUUACCCAGUCUAGAACGCUGGGGGAAUAAGGAGAGGGCAAGUCUGGUGUCAGCCGCCGCGGUAAUACCAGCUCUUCGAGUGGUGUGGAUGUUUAUUGGGCCUAAAGCAUCCGUAGCUGGCUAAGUUAGUCCCUUGUUAAAUAAAACGAAUUAAUCGUUGGAUCGCGGGGGAUACUGCUUGGCUAGGGGACGAGAGAGGCAGACGGUAUUUUCGGGGUAGGGGUGAAAUCCUAUAAUCCCGGGAAGACCACCAGUGGCGAAGGCUGUCUUCUAGAACGCGCUCGACGGUGAGGGAUGAAAGCUGGGGGAGCGAACCGGAUUAGAUACCCGGGUAGUCCCAGCUGUAAUCGAUGCAGCCCUUUCUUGAAUAGGGUCGUCCUCGUGCCGUUCUAGUGCCGCAGGGAAGCUGUUACUCCCCCAUAUGGACGUCGCAG
Molecule: ribosomal RNA, 574 nt
Filed under: uncultured archaeon
Lineage: Archaea
Description: bacterial SSU rRNA
Rfam family: Archaeal small subunit ribosomal RNA
Source: RNAcentral